GCACGAAGUUAGCCGUGGCUUAUUCGCCUGGUACAUUCAUUCCCUAUAUUUCUACAGGGCGGUUAGUCCCAGGCAAAAGGAGUUUACAAUCCGAAGACCUUCGUCCUCCACGCGGCGUCGCUGGAUCAGGGUUUCCCCCAUUGUCCAAAAUUCCUCA
RNAcentral lists this ribosomal RNA (157 nucleotides) under uncultured bacterium. RNAcentral describes it as "partial 16S ribosomal RNA". The record is from RNAcentral.